GGCAGUUCUCAGGUGACACCCCAGAAUCAGGCUCCCUCCUCUCUGGUUCUGGGUGCAUCACCUGAGAACUGCA
Non-coding RNA from Myotis brandtii (Brandt's bat), 73 nucleotides. Lineage: Eukaryota; Metazoa; Chordata; Mammalia; Chiroptera; Vespertilionidae. The record is from Rfam.